RNAcentral lists this long non-coding RNA (5099 nucleotides) under Xyrichtys novacula (pearly razorfish). The record is from RNAcentral. Lineage: Eukaryota; Metazoa; Chordata; Actinopteri; Labriformes; Labridae.
UUGGAAACAAGCAAAGAAGAGAUUAUGAGCAGUAUGAUGAUCUCUGUCUCAUCCCAGACAGGAACUGCUUCAAAGAGUGGCAUAAACAACCGUAAAUAGCAAAAAACGCCUGGAAGAAUUAGUAUAAAUAUGUAAAUAGUUUCUGUUGUGUGUUUGUUCCAAUCACAAUAUUUCUACUCCUGAUAGUCAAGACUUGACAGAAUGAUGUGCAGGUGGGAAAAGGCUUGGUCACUUUAGAUUUAUGUGUUUUUUGAUGGAUCUGAAUCUACCGUCACAUUCAUUUUACAUAAUUUUUGCUCCCAUCACUACAGAAGCAUCUCUACUAAUAAGUCUGGUCCUGCUCGGGGUUUUCUGCCUGUUUUAAAGAAGCUCCUCUGUGUCUGUCUGAUCAUUCUGACAUUAAAAGUGACUAAUUGUAAAAGUGACACCUUAUAACCGUAAAACAUGAGAUGAACAUUUAUAGAGAAAUAAGUCAAUCUUCCAACAAGAGAUAAAAAUGAAUUCAUAGGAAAGAAAACUCUCGACUCAGCCCACUCAGGGGUUUUUACUGCUUGAUGUGGUGAUGCAGAUUGAAUAUGAUGUUUUUCACAUGGCUGAGUCACUCUUGAGUUUUUGACUCUGCUUGGGUUUUUUGCAUUAUAAGUCAUCGUCACAUAAGCUCUUAAAACAACAACAACAACAAAAUUCUGAAAACUUAUGAGAAAUCCUGGUGUGAAUGCAAACGGUCAAAUUUUUCACUUCAGCCAUGUGACGGGUGUUCUGCUGGUUAGAGAAAUGUUACCGCAGAGAGAAGUGACAGCAGACGCUGUGAGUUUGCACUUUUUAUUCACGUUUGAAUGACCACAAGGGCAAGUGUAGAAAAAACUGUUAUUUCAGAUUUUAGGAGAAGUGUGUCUCAGUGGACCAAUCUUGACAUUAGUCUAUUAAGAGAGUGUUUUUCUUGCUAAUGUGUUUGUCGAUUGUUUUGGCAUGGGAAGUAUGGUGCCUUCAAGUGGAUACUGAAGUUUUGGAAGGAAGAGCUCCUGAAAUUUUCCCAACAUUUUCCAGUGUGUGCAAAAUCAGCUGUAUACUACACUCUAAAAACUCUUGGGUUAUUUCUUCAACCCAAUUACUGGGUACUACAUGUUGAAUUAAAUUAAAUUUCUGGGUUAUUUUUCAGAUCCAUACCCAUUUCAUGGGUCAUAUGGAUUCUAUUGUAACCCAAUUUGAGGGUUUUUUGAAUGGGUUAAUAAUUAUGGGUUAUUUUUCUGAGAGUAGCCCAAUAAUUGGGUCAGAACGUUGGGUUCGAUUGACUCUAUGUGGUUUCUUGGGCUGUGUCCAAAAUGAAUCACUCAAUCUCUAACCUCCAUAAGGGGUUUCAGUAUAUAGUUGACUAUGUAGUGAACUCAAUCACCCGAGGUUUCAGACACGACAUGGCAAGGCGCAAUGCAUGACGGGAUGCCCACCACCGGUGAUUGACCAUCGGAUGGUCACUACAUUUUGCAAUGCUCUGUGGGAAAUUUUGGGUCGCCUAUAUAGGGCACUGGAAUUGAUCACUCAGGUUUCGGACACCUCUCAAAAUGGCGCUAACCCCCAUAUAGUCACCUAUAUAGGGGUUGGGGAUCCAUUUCGGACACAGCCUAAGCCUAAUGGCAAUUAAAGUGACCUGGUGACAUUGUGAACUUUGACCUUGAUUUUAAAUAAUAUAUAUAUCUUUUGGCUGGGGGUUCAAAUCCUGCAUGCGACACAUCUGUACAGAGCAAACUGCAUCCACCAGUGUGGGUCCCUAGCCAAGGCCCAUAGCGCCAUGGCUUACAAUCACUUCGAUAAAAAUACACGGGAUAAUAGGGUACAGGUUGUAAAAGCAAAGCUCCCAAAAAAAAAGCUCUCCAAAUGCAUAUAUAAAUUUAACCCAAGAUCAUGAGUCGAAUUAACUCGAAGAUUGCGUUGACCCUUAAAAAAGGGUUAUUGAGUCAACCCAAAAUUUGGGUUUAUUUGAAUAACCCAACAUUCGGGGUCAAAAUAACCCAAGAAGUAGUCGGCCCCUUUUCAACCUGGGGGUUUUUAGAGUGUACUAUUUCUUCAUCAGUUUUAGGUUUACCAAGUUCAGUUUUGAAGCCAAGGAGUUAAAGUUUAUCAUUUCCAGUCAGAAAACAUACAAAAGACAACAAUCAUUCUCUAUUCCAACUCUUACUCUAACUGUCAGCUUCACCAGAUGUUUGACACUUGACUUGAUCAGAUAAACUACUUAUUAUGUGAAUUUGUCUUUACUCAAAAUGUGAUUAAAGAUGAGUGUUUAUUGUCCUUUCUGCCAGUUAUCUGGGUUUCACAGUAACUGUACCACUCAUAGUGAGAAGGAGCGGCUGAUUUUCAGAGAUGAAAGUUUGGUCUUGAUAACUUGCAUUAUGACACCAAAGUUAGCCCACACUCACUCAUAUCAGUACUUAAACAUGCUCUAUUUGUUUUCUCUGUUUUGCAGGUCGGUGGUGUUGCAGACCCCCUGUGCAGAUGCAGGCGUCGCAUUGCCGCGAACUGAAGAGGCAGAGCUGAAUGGAGAAGAUGCGAAGGCGGAAGCGGGCAGAGUUAAUUCAGUUUCACAGUCUUAAUGAAUCGCACACACUUUUACACACAAAAACAGAGAGUACAUGGUUUUAAUACUAUCCACUUCCCUCUUUCUGUGAGAGGACACACACAGGCACCCUGAAUGGGCCCCUGUGGUGAUCAGCUCUGUGGUCGGGAAGUACCUAGUGUUACAACUGUCACGCUGCUCUGCUUAAAGGGACAGAGUGGAGCGUUUUCACAUGCAGUGUCCUUUCUGAAUCAAACUGUACAUCUAAGAUCUGCUGAAGGGUUUAAAAAGUCUGAGAGCAUGAGUCAAGUAACUCGAAGUUAAGACAUGUUUUGAAUUUAAUUCUAUUUCUAUCUAUUGUUUAUAUAUGUGAUUUGAAGGGUUAAAGGGUUAAGAGUAAAAAAUUGCACCAAAAAGUGACAUUAAUUUCGGUUUAUCAGAGUAAUAAGAGCAUGCACACAUCACUCAGAUCUCAUCCUUAAAUAGACUCUGCGUACUUGUUUUCUUCUGGUCUUUAAGUUGCCCCCGUAGAAGUUUCUGUUGUUGAAGUGAGGAAAGUCCAAGAUAGACAUGACUCACUCCUCAUUUUUGGUCUUUAUGUAGAUAUCACAAGGUUUUGAGGCGGGUUUGAGGUCAUCACCCUGCAACAGAAUGAAACCUCCCUUACGAAGAUGCACACCGUUAGGCUAGAUGCAGUGUUUUGUCCCAGAGGGGGAUUUACCCUGAGAAAAAGUGCAAAAGUACAAAGGUUUGUGCAACUUUGCAACUUAAGAUAGCUACCACACAACAAUCAAGAAGAGAUACAACAUUAGAAAUAACAUGUUCCUUCAAAAGGAAAAAUGAUGGGAAACUCCAGAAAACAGCACAAAAAAGUGAAUGCUAAAAAGAGAUUAGACUAAUACAUACAUUUAGAUUUGGACUUUUUUGGGGUAAAGAUCUGUUUCUCAUUGAUUCCACGACUUGAGUGACUUCUAUAUGUACAACUUCUACAAACCUGUUACUGACAUCAAUCCCAAACUUGAAUAAAACCCUAAAUUCCGCCUUUUUUCACAGACAUCCUCUCCGACUUUCUUAAGUAUUUAAGUAACCUCAAAGUGUUUCGUCAUAUUGCUGUUUGUCAGACAGGAUUUAGAAAUGUCUGCUGUCUUCUCAGAUCUGUGGUGGCCCUUAAGGUCCAUGGCACGAAUGUUUCAGAAAGAUAAAUCAUAAAACAUUUCAUGAAAUUCAAAAACAUUGUGAAACAUAAAAUAUUCUGUAAACAGGAAGUGUGUUCUAACUACUUCUACAAAAGGAGUGCAAAAUAUUUUAGAAACAUCAAAUAUAUUUUUUCAAAAUUCCAAUGUAUUUUUUUUUUUUGUAAAAGUUUGUGUUUCUGAAGAAUUUUUAAAAAAUUCAAAAUUUAUUUUUGUGUUUUCAAAAUAAAUCCUCUCUGACUUCCUUAAAUAUGUGAGUAACCUCAAAGUGUUUCGCCAUAUUCCUGUUAAUCAGACAGGAUUUAGAAAUGUCUGCUGUCCUCUUAGAGCUAUGGUGGCCCUGAAGGUCCAUGGCACAGAUGUUUCAGAAAGGCAGUGAAAAGAUAAAGCAUAAAACACAAAAACAUUUCAGCAAAUUCAAAAUCAUCACGAAACAUAAAAUAUUCUGUAACCAAAAAGUGUGCUUUAAAAACUACUCCUGAAAAAGGAUUGCAAAGUAUUUCAGAAACAUCAACAUCAAAUAUAUUUUUUUAAAAUUCCAAUGUAUUCUUGUUUUGAAAGUUUGUGUUUUCAAAGUAUUUUUAAAAAGUGUCAAAAUUAGUUUUUGUGUUUUCAAAUUAAUUUUGGGUUUCAGAAAUAUCAUUAUGAUGUAUAAUUUUAUUUUCAUUUCAAAACUGUUUUAUGUUUUAACAUUUUUUUUCAGAAAUAUUUUUUUCCAACAUAUAUUUUGUAUAAAUGUCAGAUAUUUUUGUAUUUUGAAGAAUGCUUUAGGGUGUUAUGCCUCUCUUUGUCUUAUAUUUAUUUACCUGUUUCUGUGUUUGAUUAAAUAUUUAUCUUUUAUGUCAUAAUGUGCCGUUGCUCUUCAGGGCCACCGUACAUGACGAGUGCUUGACAGCCUUGUCUUGCAGUACUUUUGGAUGACAUGGUCACUUUUGGUCUGCCUGGAUAGACUUCAUACGUGUUUGACUGCAUUUCAGCAAAACGUUGAAGAUCUUUCUCUUGCGUCGCUGCUUUUUACUAAAGACUUAAAAAGCAUAAAUAAAAUGUUAGUUCCAGUUAGUUACAUAUUUCUUUGAAGCCAGUUUUAUAAGCUUUGAAAAAUGGUGAAAACUUAUCAAAUUUGCACAUUUUGACAAAACUCUAACCUCUAUCAUGAGACUUUAUGUGUAUGGUGCUGUGGGAAAGUAUGAUCUGGUGUAAAUGUGUCUUCACAGGAAAUAAGAAAAAGCAUCUCUAAUCUCACUUGAGUUUAUACUUUCAUUUUCUGUCUGCAGGGGUGAAUUUCCUUGCACUGUACACUGUUGAGUGUUUCUGUAAAACUGCCCACUCUCUCUAAAUAAAUUGUUCAUACUGGGAAA